AUUCGUAGUUUGGUUUUCGUUUAAACCAUUUGCAAUUCUCAAAUAUAAACAUUAACUACGAUUUGAACUUGAAUAAUUUACUUGUGGGGUUUGUAUUACUGUUUAAGUCAAGGUGACAAAGACAAAAGUUUCUCGUAUCGAGACUAGAACAACAUGCAUUCGUCUUCACGAAUGAAACACUGAAUCUUGAAGAGCUGAGAAUAGUGUGUUAUGAAAUUUCAAUUCCGGUAACAGGUUGCAUAUUUCAGGGUAAGAUUUGUGAUCCGUUGCAAAGUAUAUCCAUAAUAAGAUAUGUGACAUUAAUAAACAAAAUAUAUAAAAGCAUAAAUUAAGGGCAUAAUACAUUGCAUUUUGAUCUCUCGCUCUCGACCUGCUAUUUCAAUGUCAACAUGAACAAGUAAUCUGUUUAAAUUGCAAAUUUAACCAAAAAAAAGAGUUGGACCCGUCACGCUCUUUUCAUGAGCUUUAUUUUCUUAAAAGGUUUGAGCUUUUUUUUUUUCCAAUCC
Molecule: RNA transcript, 506 nt
Organism: Arabidopsis thaliana (thale cress)
Lineage: Eukaryota; Viridiplantae; Streptophyta; Magnoliopsida; Brassicales; Brassicaceae
Exons: 2
Source: RefSeq